RNAcentral lists this transfer RNA (73 nucleotides) under bacterium. RNAcentral describes it as "tRNA-Met". It matches the Rfam family "tRNA". From Rfam's summary of the family: Transfer RNA (tRNA) molecules are approximately 80 nucleotides in length. Their secondary structure includes four short double-helical elements and three loops (D, anti-codon, and T loops). The record is from RNAcentral.
GCCGAUGUAGCUCAGUGGUUAGAGCAGAGUCUUCAUAAGGCUAAGGUCGGAGGUUCAACUCCUCCCAUCGGCA